This 255-nucleotide ribosomal RNA is filed under the name uncultured bacterium. RNAcentral describes it as "partial 16S ribosomal RNA". It matches the Rfam family "Bacterial small subunit ribosomal RNA", at positions 57 to 305 of the family's 1533-position model. The record is from RNAcentral.
GCAAGUCGAACGAGAACGGGUAUUAGCUUGCUAAUACUGUCAGCUAAGUGGCGCACGGGUGAGUAAUAUAUAGUUAACCUGCCCUAGAGAAGGGGAUAACGUUUGGAAACGGACGCUAACACCCUAUAUGCCUUUAAUACAUAAGUAUGCAAGGGAAACAUUUAUGGCUCUAGGAGGGGACUGUAGGGUAUCAGUGAGUGGGUGAGGGAAUGGAACAACAAGACAAUGACACCUAGCUGGUUUGAGAGGAUGAGC